AGAGUUUGAUCCUGGCUCAGGAUGAACGCUGGCGGCGUGCCUAAUACAUGCAAGUCGAACGAGGUGCUUUUGUAGCAAUACGAGAGUAUCCUAGUGGCGAACGGGUGAGUAACGCGUUGGCGACCUACCCCAAAGUGUGGGAUAACAGUCCGAAAGGACUGCUAAUACCGCAUGUGGUCAUUGGGUUUAGAAACCGGUGACUAAAGGAGCAAUUCGCUUUGGGAGGGACCUGCGUCCCAUCAGCUAGUUGGUGAGGUAAUGGCUCACCAAGGCGACGACGGGUAGGGGACCUGAGAGGGUGACCCCCCACAAUGGAACUGAAACACGGUCCAUACACCUACGGGUGGCAGCAGUAGGGAAUAUUGCUCAAUGGGCGAAAGCCUGAAGCAGCAACGCCGCGUGUGUGAUGAAGGCCUUCGGGUCGUAAAGCACUUUUCUGGGAGAUGAGAAAGGACAGUAUCCCAGGAAUAAGUCUCGGCUAACUACGUGCCAGCAGCCGCGGUAAUAC
RNAcentral lists this ribosomal RNA (508 nucleotides) under uncultured bacterium. Its description in RNAcentral is "bacterial SSU rRNA". It matches the Rfam family "Bacterial small subunit ribosomal RNA", at positions 8 to 526 of the family's 1533-position model. The record is from RNAcentral.